AUUGAACGCUGGCGGCAGGCCUAACACAUGCAAGUCGAGCGGAGCGGCGGACGGGUGAGUAAUGUAUGGGGAUCUGCCCGAUAGAGGGGGAUAACUACUGGAAACGGUGGCUAAUACCGCAUACUAUCGGAUGAACCUAGGUCGGAUUAGCUAGUUGGUGGGGUAAAGGCCUACCAAGGCGACGAUCCGUAACUGGUCUGAGAGGAUGAUCAGUCACACUGGAACUGAGAGACGGUCCAGACUCCUACGGGAGGAAGCAGUGGGGAAUAUUGGACAAGGGGCGAAAGCCUGAUCCAGCCAUGCCGCGUGUGUGAAGAAGGUCUUCGGAUUGUAAAGCACUUUAAGUUGGGAGGCGUUACCCGCAGAAGAAGCACCGGCUAACUCCGUGCCAGCAGCCGCGGUAAUUC
This 407-nucleotide ribosomal RNA is filed under the name uncultured bacterium. RNAcentral describes it as "partial 16S ribosomal RNA". It matches the Rfam family "Bacterial small subunit ribosomal RNA", at positions 30 to 526 of the family's 1533-position model. The record is from RNAcentral.